Molecule: long non-coding RNA, 928 nt
Organism: Helianthus annuus (common sunflower)
Lineage: Eukaryota; Viridiplantae; Streptophyta; Magnoliopsida; Asterales; Asteraceae
Exons: 4
Source: RefSeq, a predicted model, not a curated record
UACAGCCCUACCUAUUACAAAGGUGUAAAAUUACCCGUUGCUCCAAGGGUCAUCGUUUGUUUUGAUGGUUACUUUUAUAUAAUAUAUUACAGAUGGACUACAUAAACACCUCGCACCCAAAUUUUGUUGGUGGGAGUAAAGCGGUUGAGAUAGCGUUGCAGCAAGUCAAAUCCUCUAAGAUUGCAUCAACAAUACCAAAGCAAAAGCUAAGGAGCUAAGUUUGGAUGUGUUGAAUCAAUAUCUGGAGAAGAAGAUAUUUCCGAAACUCAAAAGACCUUUUGCGGUGGUUUACAUCCACACCGAAGUUUGUAAGAGCGAGAAUUUUUCCGGAAUAUCCUUUCUCCAGUCAGUUUACGAUUCGAUUCCGGUCACCGUCAAACAGAAUCUCGAAACGGUUUACUUCGUUCAUCCAGAUCUACAGUCCAGGCUCUUCCUCGCCACAUUCGGCCAUUUCAUCUUCACCGUAGGGGAUCACGAAGUUCAUGGGCGGGGAGACGUGGUAAAUGGGCAAGAGGAAGAGGAAGAUUCAGAGCCACCAUGAUUGUAAUGACUUUUCUUAACUGAACUGGCCGAGCAGGUGGGUGGAGCUGCUAUCAGUCGCAGAUUUCAUUGAAGCCUUUAUGAUGUGUAUUGCAUGAGCGCUGCACAUCUGCGUGUGCACUAUAAAGGCAAGAAGCAUCUAUGGGUCAGGCAAGCUGGAGAGGGUAUGGCAUAUAUGAAAAAAUGAAUAGGAUUUAGAGGAUGCAGAUGAUGAUGAGGUUUGUAAGACCUGUAUAAGAUGCAAUGAGUUCACCAAGUACUAUAGAGCUGAGAGUUGAAAUGGACUUAUUUAUGCUUUUAAGUAUAUUUUACAUUAAGUUCCAAUUUAUUUUGUUUUUAAUGAUGUUUUUAUGGUCAUUGAAUUGAAAGUUGAUGAAUAAUUUAACUA